Siniperca chuatsi (mandarin fish) is the source of this 550-nucleotide long non-coding RNA. RefSeq lists it as uncharacterized. The record is from RefSeq and is a predicted model, not a curated record. The transcript has 2 exons. NCBI's taxonomy places the organism in Eukaryota, Metazoa, Chordata, Actinopteri, Centrarchiformes, Sinipercidae.
GCAGGGAUGACACCAAGGAAACACCAUGGCAAGGACAGAGCUCACCUUCUCCAGUGGAAUCAACUGUUUGAUGGACGGACUUUGCCCUGAAGAAGUGUGUGGUCUCUCUGAUUAAGUGGUUCUCAACAGUUCAACAGUUCUUUGAGAAAAUUGUGAAAUGUUUAGGACCACUUGACCAGUCAGACAAAUGCAGUCAGCUUGGGAAAAUGCUGCCUUGAAUGGAUUUUAUUAUUUAUUUUUUUUCAAGCAAACAUCUCUCAAGGCAUGACUUUCAAUGAUUUUAAUACAACUGUGAUUUCCUCUGCUUUUCUGUUUCCUUAAUGUCUCUCUCUGUCUUAUGCUCUCAUUGUGCCCCCUUGUGUUACAAUACCAACUGCAGUUCAGGAACUGCGGGGGGGGGACGACACUGUAAAAAUCAUCAGGCUUCAGUAAUUUCAUUCUGCUGGCACACAUGCAAAUUUUUAACAGCUCUGCUGCUGCAGUAACACCCGUCUUUUCGCUGCUUUGCUGUUGCAACUAUUCAGUACUGAUUAAAACAAGUCAAUAAAGA